UGGAUCGCUGGUAAUCUUGCGGCUCAUUUUUCCUUCUACCUUGGUUCCUAUAUUUCCUGGUAAUUUAUUAAGCAUAUCACCUAGUGUCUUAUGAAACAUGUCCAUGUUUGAGCAUAAACCCAUAUAUCCAAAUUUCCAUGUAAAAGCAAAACCCGCAGAGAUGCUUUACCAUUCUGCCAAGGCACAAUCUGCGUACCCUGGCUAUGCUGUGAAUCGUUAGAGGAACUUGAAUGGGCAUAAACAGAUGGAGAAUAUUGACCAGAAGAAUCAGCCUGGCCCAAAUAAGCCCCCUCGUAAUUACUUGAAAAGGAGUCAUUAGGAUAACCAUAAAAGUCUUG
Molecule: unclassified non-coding RNA, 338 nt
Filed under: Hevea brasiliensis (rubber tree)
Lineage: Eukaryota; Viridiplantae; Streptophyta; Magnoliopsida; Malpighiales; Euphorbiaceae
Source: RNAcentral